This 245-nucleotide long non-coding RNA is filed under the name Elaeis guineensis (African oil palm). RNAcentral describes it as "long non-coding RNA (EGUI_LNC014208)". The record is from RNAcentral. Lineage: Eukaryota; Viridiplantae; Streptophyta; Magnoliopsida; Arecales; Arecaceae.
CCUACCAUGUGUUUUGGGUGUAAAACAAUUAAAUUCACUUCUAUCAAGGGAAAAAAGUAAAUUUGAUGAUGUGGGAUUGUGACAUCAAAUAUUUUGGUCAUUUAGAAGUAUAGUUCACGUUAAAUGGUGUGGGCUAUCAAUUUGGAUUUUCUAUCAUUCACUGGCCAGGGGGAGUUGGGAAUUUCCCCUGGUAGGAUCUUGAGAGCUCAUGUAAUAGAUAAUUGUCUGUGGAGAUUUGCCCACCU